This 453-nucleotide ribosomal RNA is filed under the name uncultured Prevotella sp. RNAcentral's name for it is "partial 16S ribosomal RNA". It matches the Rfam family "Bacterial small subunit ribosomal RNA", at positions 341 to 792 of the family's 1533-position model. Lineage: Bacteria; Pseudomonadati; Bacteroidota; Bacteroidia; Bacteroidales; Prevotellaceae. The record is from RNAcentral.
ACGGGAGGCAGCAGUGAGGAAUAUUGGUCAAUGGGCGAGAGCCUGAACCAGCCAAGUAGCGUGCAGGAUGACGGCCCUAUGGGUUGUAAACUGCUUUUAUGUGGGAAUAAAGUGACUUACGUGUAGGUUUUUGCAUGUACCACAUGAAUAAGGACCGGCUAAUUCCGUGCCAGCAGCCGCGGUAAUACGGAGGAUCCGAGCGUUAUCCGGAUUUAUUGGGUUUAAAGGGUGCGCAGGCGGCUUUCUAAGUCAGUGGUUAAAUAGCGGUGCUCAACGCCGUCCCGCCAUUGAUACUGGAGAGCUUGAUUGCGGUCGAGGUUUGCGGAAUUCGUCGUGUAGCGGUGAAAUGCAUAGAUAUGACGAAGAACACCGAUUGCGUAGGCAGCAGACCAGGCCGUAAAUGACGCUCAUGCACGAAAGUGCGGGGAUCGAACAGGAUUAGAUACCCUGGUA